GUCCAAAAACAAUGUUCUCCCUUUCACCAGCUGAGGUGAAAGGUUUCGAUAUUGGAGAUCCUAUAAAAACGUUCGUGGGAAGUAUCUUGAGGGAACUCAGGUUUAAACGAUAUACUGAAGAAAUCGUACGAAGAAAAGAAUUUAGAAAGAAACUUCUCCGAUCUUUCCGACUUUCGCACAUUCGCAUUUCGUCUCCGUCAUUUCUGUCGGGAGGACUGACAACCGUUGCUACGAUUCAUCACCUAUGCUGUCUACAUCACCUAUUUCUGUUCCGGCAUUUUUCUCCCUGAGUGUCUCCAUCACCACCUUCCCGUCCAGGGACAAGAUCAGGCUAGUCUGUCUCUACUCAGAACUUUGUGAACCGACAAC
This 369-nucleotide long non-coding RNA is filed under the name Androctonus crassicauda. Lineage: Eukaryota; Metazoa; Arthropoda; Arachnida; Scorpiones; Buthidae. The record is from RNAcentral.